Molecule: non-coding RNA, 1329 nt
Organism: Paramuricea clavata
Lineage: Eukaryota; Metazoa; Cnidaria; Anthozoa; Malacalcyonacea; Plexauridae
Source: the annotation of a GenBank genome assembly
GCUCAGAUAAGCUAUUUCCAGCAUUUUGAGGAGUUUUCCAACAAGAAAUUAACCUUACACCAGUCCCUGAAAAUCAAACCAGCUGAUCUUCUGGGACUGGUCAAAUCGAUCCCUGCAACCAUGCUGUUUUGCAACAUUUUUUUUCCCACCAAAUACUGGGGCAGGAUAUUUUUUUCCCCAGUUUGUUAGUGCAGGUAUUUUUUUUUGUCCAGAAUAGCCUUGCAGGAAAUUUUUUUUCAAAAUCACCCCCCCCCCUCAAAAGUUAAAUGGUCGGCCCUUUAAUGAUAUUCAUUAAAUGAUAAUCAUGAUAAUCAUUAAACUGUGAUACUAGUAUUCUGUGGUAUCGAUACCAGGCCCAAACAGGAAGUAGUCGAUACUGCACGGUAUCGAAAAAGUGUUUCGAUUACUUUUAAAAUUAGACAUCCAUUAUAAUCCUGCAGUUGUAUCAUCAUUUUCAUGGUUAUUUCUAAUAACAUUUAUGUACUUUUUGGUAUUUUGCUGCAUUUAACAAUUUAAUCAAACUUUUUUUAUACUUUAUUUGACAUUCUAUUCUCGCCGAGUAGAAUAAUUUAUGAAAAAGGCGGGAAAUAAAGUAAUUUUUAUUUUUUUAUGGAUUAAAAUGGCGGCUCAAAUUGUUACUGUUAAAAAUAUGUAACUUUUUGAAAAUUGGAGGAAGUAAUCGUUUGGGUAAUCGAUACCUCGAUACUUUAACCAAAAAGUAAUCUGUAUCGUAUCGAAACCGAUACUGGUGAUAUUGCCCAUCACUACAAUUCGCACUCACUGCAACCGCGCGAAAUUCCCCCCUCAGGAGUCUGGGACCAACCAAAAUGCCCUUAUAAAUCCGCCAUUUUGUGGUUCUAUGUUAUACACCCAAUCUAAAUGAACCCUGUUUUCUUUUUCCACGAAAACGUUCUACCUUAAGUGAUAUAUAGUCUUUCAUCCGGACCUUCGAAAAACAUUUUACUUAACCGUUAGUGGGAAAAUUGGAGGUAUUGAUGCUAACAUUAUGAUUGACACAUGUUCUGCAAUUACGGUAAUUAACCAAGUCGAUUUCCGUUUGGGACAAAGUUCGCGAAAAUUCUAAUUCGUUCUUGCGAACUACAGAAGGACAAUAUCAAACAGCGCAAACUGCAAGCGGAGAAAUUGUUCAGGUUUUAGGCGACGUCAAUCUUGAAUUGUCGCUAGGAAAUGCUACUUAUACGGUCAAAAUACUGAUGCGUUUUACCUAAAUUACAUUAUAUGGCUAUUUUGGGAAAGGAUUUUCUUGAACGUUUUGAUUGAGUUAUAGAUUUUAAUUCCGGCUAUCUCAAAAUUGCUCGCGAUAAUUUG